UAUGACGAUGGACAUUGCAAAGAGUGGCGAACGGGUGAGUAACACGUGGGAAACCUACCUCUUAGCAGGGGAUAACAUUUGGAAACAGAUGCUAAUACCGUAUAACAAUAGCAACCGCAUGGUUGCUACUUAAAAGAUGGUUCUGCUAUCACUAAGAGAUGGUCCCGCGGUGCAUUAGUUAGUUGGUGAGGUAAUGGCUCACCAAGACGAUGAUGCAUAGCCGAGUUGAGAGACUGAUCGGCCACAAUGGGACUGAGACACGGCCCAUACUCCUACGGGAGGCAGCAGUAGGGAAUCUUCCACAAUGGGCGAAAGCCUGAUGGAGCAACGCCGCGUGUGUGAUGAAGGGUUUCGGCUCGUAAAACACUGUUGUAAGAGAAGAAUGACAUUGAGAGUAACUGUUCAAUGUGUGACGGUAUCUUACCAGAAAGGAACGGCUAAAUACGUGCCAGCAGCCGCGGUAAUACGUAUGUUCCAAGCGUUAUCCGGAUUUAUUGGGCGUAAAGCGAGCGCAGACGGUUAUUUAAGUCUGAAGUGAAAGCCCUCAGCUCAACUGAGGAAUUGCUUUGGAAACUGGAUGACUUGAGUGCAGUAGAGGAAAGUGGAACUCCAUGUGUAGCGGUGAAAUGCGUAGAUAUAUGGAAGAACA
This 649-nucleotide ribosomal RNA is filed under the name Weissella cibaria. RNAcentral describes it as "bacterial SSU rRNA". It matches the Rfam family "Bacterial small subunit ribosomal RNA", at positions 73 to 708 of the family's 1533-position model. The record is from RNAcentral. Lineage: Bacteria; Bacillati; Bacillota; Bacilli; Lactobacillales; Lactobacillaceae.